This 77-nucleotide transfer RNA is filed under the name bacterium HR19. RNAcentral describes it as "tRNA-Thr". It matches the Rfam family "tRNA". Rfam says of the family: Transfer RNA (tRNA) molecules are approximately 80 nucleotides in length. Their secondary structure includes four short double-helical elements and three loops (D, anti-codon, and T loops). Further hydrogen bonds mediate the characteristic L-shaped molecular structure. tRNAs have two regions of fundamental functional importance: the anti-codon, which is responsible for specific mRNA codon recognition, and the 3' end, to which the tRNAs corresponding amino acid is attached (by aminoacyl-tRNA synthetases). tRNAs cope with the degeneracy of the genetic code in two manners: having more than one tRNA (with a specific anti-codon) for a particular amino acid; and 'wobble' base-pairing, i.e. permitting non-standard base-pairing at the 3rd anti-codon position. The record is from RNAcentral.
AGCCAAGGUAGCUCAGGUGGUAGAGCGGGUGCCUUGUAAGCACCAGGUCGUGGGUUCGAAUCCCACCCUUGGCUCCC